GUAGUACCCCGAGGUGGUCUAGCUUAGGGGUUUAAAAGACAAUGAAUCAAGUUGUAAUAAAUUGUAAUAUCUAGAUUGUAAUUUGGAAGUUGAAUGUAAAAGAAAAUUGUGAUGUAAGAAUGUAUUUAGUGUGAAUGCUUGUAAUAGCAAGUAGUUUUAUAUUUUUGAUACUUCCUUAUGCAAUCUUUGAUUGAAAUGUGUUCCUGGUUGGAAAUUCGUACAUUGUAUUGAUUGCGACGCCUAAGAUGUACAGAAAAAACUCUAUCCGUUCGGCAGUCUGUCGGCGUGCCCGAACCCCACCAAAUAGGCGGGGCGCGGGGCGUGACAUGAAUAGUUACUACUUUCAGAUCUAGAGAUGGGGGAAGAGCAAGGGAGUCCUCCAAGUCCUAAUCCGUGCCAAUCCGACUCGACCCGAACCCCCUCUCCGGAUCAAAAUAGUGUUUAUAGGGUUUUUAUCAAUGUCUAUCUCUUCGGAUUUAUGAAAAAAGAAGGUAAUCGAACGAUUUUUUCAAUAGAGGAAGCUAAUUGGAGAGCAAUAAUGGACGGUUCGAGGGGUAGGUUUGGAAAAUGAAAAUCCUAAACUUAAUUUUUCUUUUCUUUAUUUUAAUCUCGAAUUCUUACUACGUAUUCAUUUAGAAUUUAAUUUAUUUGCAUUAUUUUUGAUAUGGUGAUUGUAUCAAUCAAGGAUUUGAUUUAUAUGCAUUAUUUUGAUUAAUUUGGAGGUUAUUUUUUUAUUUCAUAAUUGAUGUGGCAGUUUUGGCCCGCAACUUUUGAUCAUUUCAUGCCAAAAAAGGUGCAAAAUCCUGUAAAUUUUCAUCAGAUUUUCAUUGCCAUCGUCGUCAUCAUCGCAACAUUAUUAUCUCCAUCUUUAUACGACCUUUGUAGGUUUUUUGUUUUGAAUAUUGAUUCUGGGCAGUUAUCGAUUUUCAAUGGUCAUAUUGGUUAGUUCAAUUCAUACGUUUCUCUACCCAAAAAAUAAAACACACUUGAAUUUUUAUUUUCCAAACUUCUUUCUUCUUACUCUUUAAUAUUUUUUAAUUUUUCUUCUAUUAUUUAUCCGCGGCAUCGCGCGGGUUACUACACUAGUAUAUAUAGAGUCCGGCUACUAUCCUAUUAAUAGGAUUGAGACCGUUGUCCUAUCAAAUCGUUUUGAAUAGCCGACACUCCAAAUUGAUAAUCGGCACCGUUGAAAUUGAUCUACACUAUAAAAAAUAUUUAAAUCGUUUUGAAUAAUCGACACUCCAAAUUGAUAAUCGGCACCGUUGAAAUUGAUCCACACUAUAAAAAAUAUUUAAAAAACAAAUUUUAUAAUUUUUAAAAAUCAUUAUCAAGUCUAUCGAAGAGUCGAAAAAUGAACGGUCAAAAACAAAUGACCUUCUGAAAACAGAUGUUAGGCUUUCUAAAUUUACGAUCGGAGUUAUUAAAUAUUAUCUAAAUAGUAUAAAAAAUUUUCUAUCAAAAAUUCAACCGAUUUAGAUUACUCUACACCGUUAAACAUGCAAACGGCUCAUAUAGGCCGUCAAAAAAUUGUUAAUUUUGCUAUCCUUUGAUCACUUUGUAAAUAAAUUUUAAAAUUUAUAAAAUUUAGUUCCUAGAUAUUUCAAAUACUCUAGAUCAACUUCAACGGUUCCAAUCAUCGAUUCGAGAUCUCUAUCAUCAAAAACUAUUUGAGAGGACAAAGGUUCCUAUCCUAUUAAUAGGAUAGCAGCUGGAUUUUAUAUAUAUAUAUAUAUAGAGAGAGAGAGAGAGAGAGAGAGAGAGAGAGAGAGAGAGUUGAGCUAGGAUACUUUUAGAAGCACCACCCACUUGGUGCUUCUAAGUUUCUAACUCUUGGAUCCAUUCCAUAAUUACUAAUAUCCCUGGAAUCAAACAUUAUUCCACAUACCACCACCUACCACCGCCUACCACCAUCAUCUCAACCUCACAUCUCACCAUCCAAGGGCUAAAAACUCUAAAGCACCACCCACUUGGUACUUCUAAAAGUAUUCUAGCUUCACUAUAUAUAUAUAUAUAUAUAUAAUCAAUUCGGAUUUGGGUUUGAUACAGUCAAAAUUCAUACCCGAAUCUAAAUCUGUCGAAUUUUCAUUUUUGAUAUCUAUAAAACAAUAUAUGUUUAGCAUCGAAUAAAUUUGCUCCUUUCAGAUUCGAAUUUGAAU
RNAcentral lists this long non-coding RNA (2156 nucleotides) under Ananas comosus (pineapple). RNAcentral describes it as "long non-coding RNA (ACOM_LNC023123)". The record is from RNAcentral. Lineage: Eukaryota; Viridiplantae; Streptophyta; Magnoliopsida; Poales; Bromeliaceae.